GCGGACAGUGUCUGGUGGGUAGUUUGACUGGGGCGGUCUCCUCCUAAAGAGUAACGGAGGAGCACGAAGGUUGGCUAAUCCUGGUCGGACAUCAGGAGGUUAGUGCAAUGGCAUAAGCCAGCUUGACUGCGAGCGUGACGGCGCGAGCAGGUGCGAAAGCAGGUCAUAGUGAUCCGGUGGUUCUGAAUGGAAGGGCCAUCGCUCAACGGAUAAAAGGUACUCCGGGGAUAACAGGCUGAUACCGCCCAAGAGUUCAUAUCGACGGCGGUGUUUGGCACCUCGAUGUCGGCUCAUCACAUCCUGGGGCUGAAGUAGGUCCCAAGGGUAUGGCUGUUCGCCAUUUAAAGUGGUACGCGAGCUGGGUUUAGAACGUCGUGAGACAGUUCGGUCCCUAUCUGCCGUGGGCGCUGGAGAACUGAGGGGGGCUGCUCCUAGUACGAGAGGACCGGAGUGGACGCAUCACUGGUGUUCGGGUUGUCAUGCCAAUGGCACUGCCCGGUAGCUAAAUGCGGAAGAGAUAAGUGCUGAAAGCAUCUAAGCACGAAACUUGCCCCGAGAUGAGUUCUCCCUGAGACUUUAGGUCUCCUGAAGGAACGU
Molecule: ribosomal RNA, 597 nt
Filed under: Salmonella enterica subsp. enterica serovar Indiana
Lineage: Bacteria; Pseudomonadati; Pseudomonadota; Gammaproteobacteria; Enterobacterales; Enterobacteriaceae
Description: partial 23S ribosomal RNA
Rfam family: Bacterial large subunit ribosomal RNA
Source: RNAcentral